UUCCAAUGAUCUACAAGUAUCCGAUGAACAACAUUGUAGAAUGAUAGUUCCUCAUCUUGAGCUUUUUUCUCAUGCCUAUAAAUUAUUUCUCUCACUUUCUCAAUCAUCGUAUCUCACAUGUCGUAAACCAAGUGAAGGCAAGGUUCAUCCAAAUCUUUCAUUUCAUCGGAACAAUCAACUGCUUUUAAAAAUAUUAGUCCACUCUCGGUCACCGCCAUAAAAUUAAUGAGUGGCCUUCUUUGUGGAUCACUCCAUCCAUCACUUAUAAUGGUAACUCAUUUUUCCACCCAUGUGCCCUUAAUUGGAUAUAAUUAGUUUUCCACAUUUUUUCUCUCUUUUUUAAGAAGAGUGGUUCUCAACUUGUUAUAACCGGGAGGCAAAUACGCCGAAAUUCGACUAUUGGAAGCAAGAGUAUAAGAACUAAUAUAAUAAGGAUUUCUCGCAAAAGUAAAAGGCAAACCACUUGAAUAAAACAUUCUAGCAAUUUCGGAAUCCAAUUGUUCACGUGUAGUCACAUUAAAAGAAUUUUUUAUUGCAUUAUUCUUUCUUUUCUUUUCCUCCAAAACAUAACAAUCCUUAGAACCCAUAUUAUCCGACGGCAAUGGCACUCUUUUUCCCACCUUAGUUUGCAUUCUCAACUUGGCUUCAUCUUCCAUUUUUUGCAUUUCACAUAUAUCUUUCACAGUUACUUUUUCACAAGCACCAAUUCCAUAGCUUGUAGUUUAAACAAAUGUGCUCACUCUUGUGUAUGAACUUAUCUUAGUUGCAUUACAAAAAUUGCAUUGCCAAAGAACGUUACCAACCUUUCUAUUAAAUUUAUCAAGUUUUGUAACAUAUUUCCAAAGUGAUUUAGACAAAUCAUCAUCCAUAGCAUUACUGUUGGAUUUUAUGCGCAAUAUUAAAGAGAUGAAAAAGAAAAUCAACACAAGAAUUUAUGUGGUUCGACGGUGUACCUACGUCCAUGAGAGCAAAGCGGAGAUUAUUUUAU
RNAcentral lists this long non-coding RNA (988 nucleotides) under Olea europaea subsp. europaea. Lineage: Eukaryota; Viridiplantae; Streptophyta; Magnoliopsida; Lamiales; Oleaceae. The record is from RNAcentral.